AAAAAAGGUAAGCUACUAAGAGCGAAUGGUGGAUGCCUUGACUGGUAAAGGCGAUGAAGGACGUACUAGACUGCGAUAAGCUACGGGGAGCUGUCAAGAAGCUUUGAUCCGUAGAUUUCCGAAUGGGGCAACCCAAUGUAUAGAGAUAUACAUUACCUAUAUAGGAGCGAACGAGGGGAAUUGAAACAUCUUAGUACCCUCAGGAAAAGAAAUCAAUAGAGAUUGCGUCAGUAGCGGCGAGCGAAAGCGCAAGAGGGCAAACCCAGUGCUUGCACUGGGGGUUGUAGGACUGCAAUGUGCAAGAGCUGAGUUUAGCAGAACAUUCUGGAAAGUAUAGCCAUAGAGGGUGAUAGUCCCGUAUGCGAAAAACAAAGCUUAGCUAGCAGUAUCCUGAGUAGGGCGGGACACGAGGAAUCCUGUCUGAAUCCGGGUCGACCACGAUCCAACCCUAAAUACUAAUACCAGAUCGAUAGUGCACAAGUACCGUGAGGGAAAGGUGAAAAGAACUGAGGUGAUCAGAGUGAAAUAGAACCUGAAACCAUUUGCUUACAAUCAUUCAGAGCACUAUGUAGCAAUACAGUGUGAUGGACUGCCUUUUGCAUAAUGAGCCUGCGAGUUGUGGUGUCUGGCAAGGUUAAGCAAACGCGAAGCCGUAGCGAAAGCGAGUCUGAAUAGGGCGCUUAGUCAGAUGCUGCAGACCCGAAACGAAGUGAUCUAUCCAUGAGCAAGUUGAAGCUAGUGUAAGAACUAGUGGAGGACUGAACCCAUAGGCGUUGAAAAGCCCCGGGAUGACUUGUGGAUAGGGGUGAAAGGCCAAUCAAACUUCGUGAUAGCUGGUUCUCUCCGAAAUAUAUUUAGGUAUAGCGUUGUGUCGUAAUAUAAGGGGGUAGAGCACUGAAUGGGCUAGGGCAUACACCAAUGUACCAAACCCUAUCAAACUCCGAAUACCUUAUAUGUAAUCACAGCAGUCAGGCGGCGAGUGAUAAAAUCCGUCGUCAAGAGGGAAACAACCCAGACUACCAGCUAAGGUCCCUAAAUCUUACUUAAGUGGAAAACGAUGUGAAGUUACUUAAACAACCAGGAGGUUGGCUUAGAAGCAGCCAUCCUUUAAAGAAAGCGUAAUAGCUCACUGGUCUAGUGAUUUUGCGCGGAAAAUAUAACGGGGCUAAAGUAAGUACCGAAGCUGUAGACUUGCACACAACUUAGAUUAUUUAAGUUUAGAAUAAGUAGUUUAAGUUGUGUGCAAGUGGUAGGAGAGCGUUCUAUUUGCGUCGAAGGUAUACCGGUAAGGAGUGCUGGAGCGAAUAGAAGUGAGCAUGCAGGCAUGAGUAGCGAUAAUUAAUGUGAGAAUCAUUAACGCCGUAAACCCAAGGUUUCCUACGCGAUGCUCGUCAUCGUAGGGUUAGUCGGGUCCUAAGUCGAGUCCGAAAGGGGUAGACGAUGGCAAAUUGGUUAAUAUU
Molecule: ribosomal RNA, 1460 nt
Filed under: Campylobacter jejuni
Lineage: Bacteria; Pseudomonadati; Campylobacterota; Epsilonproteobacteria; Campylobacterales; Campylobacteraceae
Description: partial 23S ribosomal RNA
Rfam family: Bacterial large subunit ribosomal RNA
Source: RNAcentral